Molecule: unclassified non-coding RNA, 420 nt
Filed under: Hevea brasiliensis (rubber tree)
Lineage: Eukaryota; Viridiplantae; Streptophyta; Magnoliopsida; Malpighiales; Euphorbiaceae
Source: RNAcentral
AAGAACAAAAAUCAGAGAUUAGGAUACGCACGAUUAGUUGGCAACAACAUAAAGAAAUUAAUGUACAAGUAAGUAAGAACAGUUCAAUAAUUUUAUCUGUAUAAAAGAGAAAAAGAAGAGGUGGCCUAUUAAUGGGAUGAAUUCAGGACCCCCCUCGUGAGUGUCUUAGAAUCCAGCCAAUAGUUUCAUUGAAAAGCAGCCACUUAAUUAAUUAAUUAUUACAUACUCCCUUUUUUACAAAAUUAUUAGUUUAGACUAUAUUCAAACUCGAAAUUUGACACUCUUUAUGGAAUAAAUAAUUUCAUCAAGACAUGCCAAUUUUCUGCAAAUAUAUCAAGGGGAAAAACUAGCUUGGCUUGCCUUUAAUACAUGAAUAUUUUUUUCAGUCGAGCUAUUCUGGACUUAUAGCUUGGUCAUAAG